AUGCAACUUAUUUCCUCUGCUCAGCCCACUUGGUUAGUAGAAGUGUUGAAAAGUUAUGAGCAAGAUCCAGUUGUUGUGGAACUGCUGCAACAACUGUCCACAUCUCCUAAUUCUCACAGCAAGUUCUCUCUCAAAGUUGGAGUUAUCAGACAGGGCAAGUGUGUUUGGCUAGGUAAUGACUCAACACUACAUAGCAAGAUUUGUGCUGCUUUUCAUGACAGUCAAUUGGGAGGGCACUCUGGAUUUCCAGUCACUUAUAAAUGCAUCAGACAGCUGUUCCGGUGGAAAGGGACGAGAAGUUUCAUAAAAACUCAUGUUCAAAGCUACCUGGUAUGCCAACAGGCCAAACUUGAAAGAGUUCCUUCUCCUGGUCUGCUUCAGCCGCUUCCAAUUCCUUCCUUACCUUGGGAAAUGGUAACCAUGGACUUUGUUGAAGGAUUGCCUACAUCUGGCCGUUAUAACUGUUUGUUUGUGAUCAUUGACAAGCUUUCCAAGGGAGGUAGUGUCAGCAUCCAAGAGGAGCGCCAAGACGAUGUUCAAACCGAUGGACGGCCCAAGAGGCAGCUUCGCUUACCCGCUGGCCAGCUGGGCCUGAGUGGGCCUUAG
RNAcentral lists this ribosomal RNA (606 nucleotides) under Triticum aestivum (bread wheat). RNAcentral's name for it is "partial small subunit ribosomal RNA". Lineage: Eukaryota; Viridiplantae; Streptophyta; Magnoliopsida; Poales; Poaceae. The record is from RNAcentral.